This 849-nucleotide long non-coding RNA is filed under the name Triticum aestivum (bread wheat). RNAcentral describes it as "long non-coding RNA (TAES_LNC024743)". Lineage: Eukaryota; Viridiplantae; Streptophyta; Magnoliopsida; Poales; Poaceae. The record is from RNAcentral.
GCAGAUACACAAAUACCAUACUAGAAACAAACACACGCCCCGAUCUCUCUCUCUCUCUCUCUCUCUUGCAGCAGCCAAGAAAAAUGGCGCCGGUGAAGGUGUUCGGGCCGGCGGCGUUUGCUAACGUGGCCCGGGUGCUAGUGUGCCUGGAGGAGGUCGGCGCCGACUACGAGGUCGUCGACAUAGAUUUCAUGGCCCUGGAGCACAAGAGCCCCGAGCACCUCACCAGAAACGUAACCUCCCCGACUACUCGAAUCCUCUAAACCCUUUUCCUUGAUUUUUGCCAUUCCAUCAACUGAUUUCCGUGCUGGUGUUUUAAUUUCUUGCAGCCGUUCGGGCAAAUCCCUGCUUUCCAGGAUGGCGAUCUGAUCCUCUUCGGUAUGAUAGGUCUUCCCUUUUACAGUUAACUUUGUGAUUGUCAUAACACAAAUGACUUACCGGCAUCUUAAUGGGACCGAGUAGUAAAGUGAAUGCACUAGCCUUCAAAUUUGUUUCCGGUGGAUGCUUGCUGAGGUUAUUUGCAGAUCAGCAGGGCCUGAAGUCUUGUUAAAAAAAAAGGACCUGAAGUGAAGUCACAUGAAAAAUUAACCAUUGCGGUCCUCAGAAUAUUACUACAAUUUUGGGCCAUGAACUUGUUAAUUUUGGGGUAUCAGUACNNNNNNNNNNGUUCGGGCCGGCGGCGUUUGCUAACGUGGCCCGGGUGCUAGUGUGCCUGGAGGAGGUCGGCGCCGACUACGAGGUCGUCGACAUAGAUUUCAUGGCCCUGGAGCACAAGAGCCCCGAGCACCUCACCAGAAACGUAACCUCCCCGACUACUCGAAUCCUCUAAACCCUUUUCCUUGAUUUUGG